GAAAAAGAAACAAGAACAGUUUAAAAACAGCAACUGGGCUGCCUCUGUUAAAAAAAACAGAAAUGCGAGCAGGGUGGUUAAUUCAGCCCAGUUGUCAGUUUCAAAACUUCAUGCCCUGGGCUACCAGCCAAUUCUGUUUCUUUGACAGUUUGACCGUAAGGGCCGUAUAGUAGGGGACGUGAUCACUCAGAUCGAACCAGCGGAAGGUGCUGCACGUGACAUCCUCAUGAAGAUGAGGAAACUUUAUGAACACCUUCUGAGAAAAUUACAAGCUUCACCUCCUGCUAAAAGUUCUACACCAGCAGCUGGACCAUCCUCUGCUGACAAUGUCGAUGCUGGACCAGUCCCAGACCCAGAGGCUCUAAACGAGGAAUUUAUUCUUCAUUUAGAGCCUGUACCAACAUCUUCCCUCUGUCAACCUCCUGCAUCCUCCUCUUCAUCUCUGCUUCCUCCUGCAUCCUCCUCUCCAUCUCUGCUUCCUCCUGCAUC
Oreochromis niloticus (Nile tilapia) is the source of this 489-nucleotide long non-coding RNA. RefSeq lists it as uncharacterized. The transcript is spliced from 3 exons. The record is from RefSeq and is a predicted model, not a curated record. Lineage: Eukaryota; Metazoa; Chordata; Actinopteri; Cichliformes; Cichlidae.